Molecule: ribosomal RNA, 434 nt
Filed under: uncultured bacterium
Lineage: Bacteria
Description: bacterial SSU rRNA
Rfam family: Bacterial small subunit ribosomal RNA
Source: RNAcentral
UGAGGAAUAUUGGUCAAUGGGCGCGAGCCUGAACCAGCCAAGUCGCGUGAGGGAAGACGGCCCUACGGGUUGUAAACCUCUUUUGUCGGGGAGCAAGGACUGCCACGUGUGGCAGGGCGAGAGUACCCGAAGAAAAAGCAUCGGCUAACUCCGUGCCAGCAGCCGCGGUAAUACGGAGGAUGCGAGCGUUAUCCGGAUUUAUUGGGUUUAAAGGGAGCGUAGGCCGGAGAUUAAGCGUGUUGUGAAAUGUAGGAGCUCAACUUCUGCACUGCAGCGCGAACUGGUUUCCUUGAGUACGUAGGAAGUUGGCGGAAUUCGUGGUGUAGCGGUGAAAUGCUUAGAUAUCACGAAGAACUCCGAUUGCGAAGGCAGCUGACUGUAUCGUAACUGACGCUGAAGCUCGAAAGUGUGGGUAUCGAACAGGAUUAGAUACC